This 483-nucleotide ribosomal RNA is filed under the name uncultured bacterium. Its description in RNAcentral is "partial 16S ribosomal RNA". It matches the Rfam family "Bacterial small subunit ribosomal RNA", at positions 29 to 507 of the family's 1533-position model. The record is from RNAcentral.
AUUGAACGCUGGCGGCAUGCUUUACACAUGCAAGUCGGACGGCAGCGCGGGCUUCGGCCUGGCGGCGAGUGGCGAACGGGUGAGUAAUACAUCGGAACGUGCCCAGUAGUGGGGGAUAGCUCGGCGAAAGCCGGAUUAAUACCGCAUACGACCUGAGGGUGAAAGCGGGGGACUUUAGGGCCUCGCGCUAUUGGAGCGGCCGAUGGCAGAUUAGCUAGUUGGUGGGGUAAAGGCCUACCAAGGCGACGAUCUGUAGCUGGUCUGAGAGGACGACCAGCCACACUGGACUGAGACACGGCCCAGACUCCUACGGGAGGCAGCAGUGGGGAAUGUUGGACAAUGGGCGCAAGCCUGAUCCAGCAAUGCCGCGUGUGUGAUGAAGGCCUUCGGGUUGUAAAGCACUUUUGGCAGGAACGAAAAGUGCCGUGCUAAUACCACGGUACGAUGACGGUACCUGCAGAAUAAGCACCGGCUAACUACGUG